Molecule: small nucleolar RNA, 102 nt
Organism: Callithrix jacchus (white-tufted-ear marmoset)
Lineage: Eukaryota; Metazoa; Chordata; Mammalia; Primates; Cebidae
Source: Ensembl
AUCCUUUUGUAUUUCAUAAGCAUGAUAAUUGGGUUUUCACACACGUAUUAGAUAUGCCUCCCUCAAACCAUGCUAUAGCAUUGGUACCUUAUCCAUCUAACA